RNAcentral lists this unclassified non-coding RNA (1602 nucleotides) under Dendronephthya gigantea. RNAcentral's name for it is "stress-induced-phosphoprotein 1-like, transcript variant X2". Lineage: Eukaryota; Metazoa; Cnidaria; Anthozoa; Malacalcyonacea; Nephtheidae. The record is from RNAcentral.
CAUUCGUAAAGUCACAAACACAUGUUAAAGAAGAGUGGAAGUAUGGCGGAGACGAACAACCAAGAAAAUGCGACAAAAUUUAAAGAGAAAGGGAACAAAGCCCUGCAGGCUGGCAAUUUGGACGAGGCCAUUCAGAAUUACACCGAAGCUAUAAAUCUGGAUCCAAAUAACCACGUCUUCUACAGUAACAGAUCAGCUGCAUAUGCCAAGAAUGGUUGUUACGAUGAAGCAUUAGUAGAUGCGCAGAAAACAGUGGCAUUGAAACCAGAUUGGCCAAAGGGGUAUUCCAGGCUUGGGGCAGCAUAUGCAUUUCUGUCAAAUCCUGAAGAAGCAGAAAAGGCAUAUCAAAAGGGAUUGGAACUUGAUCCUAAUAAUGCUCAACUCAAAGAUGCCUUGGAAUCAUUGAAAAAAACCUUCUCUGGUCCAGGUAAAAGUGUUCCUGUGGAUAAUCCAUUCUGUACUCCAGAUCUCAUACCAAAACUUGCAGCAAAUCCAAUCACAGCAGCUUACCUGCAAGAUAAGAGCUACUUGGAAAUUUUGAGUGAGUUAAGGAAGGAUACCAAAGCACUAGGAAAAUAUUUCCAAGAUCCACGGAUAAUGAAAACUCUAGAAGUUGUACUUGGUAUUUCUUUGGUAAAAACCGAAAGUCCAGAUGGCAGCUCUGCCCAGUCAACAGCAGAAGAAAAACCAAAACCUGAGAAACCCAAAGAGGAGGUGAAGAAGGAUGAUAUCCCCCAGGAAAAGAAAGAUGCUCUUAAAGAAAAGGAACUGGGCAAUGCUGCUUACAAGAAGAAAGAUCUGGACACAGCCAUCCAGCAUUACACCAAAGGUUACGAGUUAGAUCCCACAAAUGUUACCAUGCUAACGAACCGUGCUGCUGCAUACUUUGAAAAAGAGGAAUAUGAAAAAUGCAUCGAAGAUUGUGAAAUGGCUGUGGAACGAGGGAGAGAACAUCGGGCUGAAUUUAAAAUAAUUGCUCGUGCCCUUGAGAGAAUAGGAAAAGUCUAUAUGAAGCAGGAUAAACAAGAAAAAGCAUUGGAGUACUUUGAAAAAUCUUUGACAGAAUCCCGCUCUGAUGCUCUUUUACAAAAAGUCAACAAGCUAAAAAAAGAAAUCAAGGAAAGGGAAAGACAGGCCUACAUCAAUCCUGAAAUGGCAGAAGAGGAAAGACAGAAAGGGAACGAAUUAUUCAAGAAAGGGCAGUUUCCUGAAGCAUUGAAACACUACACAGAAGCUAUUAAAAGAAAUCCAACUGACGCAAAGCUUUACAGCAACCGCGCUGCAUGUUAUCAGAAGUUAGCUGAAAUCCGCCUUGCCCUUAAGGACUGUGAUGAAUGCAUCAAGCUUGACCCAACAUUUGGUAAGACUUGUGGUUACAAUACUCCCUCUGAUAAUUCUAGGAAGCACAAGAGGGCUUACAAAGAUGUUAUGUCAGUUCAACUACGCCAUCCUCAGAUCCUGAGGAAGUUAAAAAGAGAGCAAUGGCUGAUCCUGAAGUUCAGGAAAUUCUAAGUGAUCCAGCCAUGAGAAUGAUCCUUGAGCAAAUGACAGAAAAUCCAGGAGCAAUUCAAGACCAUCUUAGGAAUCCAGAUAUAGCAAGGA